GUUUGGAAAAUGAGACUGCAGUCAGUACCAACAGACUGAGGCUGGCAAAUACUUUCUCACAGAUGAAGCCUUCAGAAGCUCAUCAUAUGCAAUUGAGAUGUAGGUCAAGGAACUGAACAAAUUGGAAAAGUCUGAAGUACCGCCAGUGACAGAAGAAAAUAUCUGCGUUUAUGUGAUGCAGAUGAGGAGGAGGCCUCAGCAGCCUGUUCUUGAUGUCACCACCACAGAUAUUUUGAAGACCUCCCUCACCACUCAGUCUUCCCCCGUUGGGCCUCGAUGCUAUCGUUGCUGCUGAUGCUACCACCUACUGGAUCUCCACCUGCUUCCGGAGCAUGCCUGGGCAGGGCCCACUCAUACGUCGAGCCAAGUCACCGCCACGAGCUGUCGAGAUACCAGGCCAAGAAUCUCGCUGAAGCACUGAGAGACCGGGCUGUCACACAGCCACGAAUCACUGAGAGACCGGGCUGUCAUACCGUCAAAAACUGCCAAGAGACUGGGCUGUCAUACAACCAUGAACCGCCGAGAAACCGGGUUGUCUACCACCAUGAGCUGCCGAGAGACUGAGCUGUCAUACAGCCAUGAACUGCCGAGAGACCACAUGUAUACUCACACAGCAGACAUGAGAAAUAGAAAUCUAAUCAUUUUUGCAUGCUACUUCCUAUCCAGACUUAGUAACAUGAGACCUUUAUGUGGAUAUAGUCUUCUGUGAUCAAAAUGUGUUUUAAUCUGACCACACACCAUAGCUACCAGGCGAUUUCUUCCUCAAAUCCGAGCGUGGAAGCUGAACAGAGAUCAGGUGAAAUCCAAGCCCUACCAACUUUAAUAAAAGCCUAAUUAAUGUCAUGCAUUGACCAGUUUGCUGUGAUCAUAUUCUCCCAUGGGUUUACAAUUCUGGCCUUUCUGACCUUAGCAAAUUAGAUAGGUGAGUUAAUAGUCAAUUUUGCUAUGGUCUAGGGGAAAGAAAAUGUUAAAUCGACAGCAUGCCUCCACUUCCCACGCAGGAUUAUCUUUCAACUUGACCAAUCCACCCACAAUGUAGUGGUCAGAAAGGCAGCUCCAGUCAUCCUAUGCACCAUAAUUAAUAUUAGAAUGCUAUUUACACACUGAACAAAGUACAAAUGCAAUUGUACACUAUGCUUUAAAACAAAGGUUGAAAGAAAGGGCAUAGCAAGCAUUUGUAAAUUGAUAAAUUAUCACCAUUUGUAAUCUCUAUUCUAUGUUGGAAGAGUUAUCCUUUGGCUUAUUAAUCAUGAGAAAACUGAAUUCCCCUUGCAGCUUUCAAAACAUUAAUUUAUCAUACACCACUGUGUUUACAAGAUGCAAGUCAGGUUUCUGUUUCUGGGGAGGAACAAAUUCAAUAACUGCACAUAUAAUAAAGAAAUAUCUGGGCCAUUCUGGAUUUAAAAUUCUUUUGUGUAGCUGUGUGAUUCUAUGAAAGCUUAGCACUCAUUUUGUGCAACUUAUAAUGGCAUCAGCCACUUCUUGCACAUUCUAGGCAGUGCUCACUGAGGAGAGGAAAAGACAGUUUGAAUCAAUGCUAUCUUGAUGCCAUAUAGGGCACCUGACUGUUGUGUUGCCAGGAUCCCUAAUUUGGGAAAAAAUAGUCCCAGCAAUUAACUUGAUGAUCACAUUGCAAACAGCAAACAUUCUUGUAGCAUGUUAGGCCCAGCCAGAGCACCAUUUAAAGGUCCACUUACUCAAAUUCUACCAAUGGUGAUUUUUAAGAGUUUAGGUGAUAUCUGGGUGUCUGGAGGUAAUUUCAGCAUGUCUGCAGGUCCUGAGAUGAGUCCCGGUUUUGUCAGAGUGUUGCUUCACCCUCUUAAAAUGAGGGCUGAUGUAAUUUGUCUAUAAUAUGUUUUUUAUUUUACUAGAUGUGACAUUGGUGAUAAUGUUUAUGGUAUCUCUUGCAAUACAAGAAACUGGGUGUACAUAUCAUUGUAUUAAACAAUCCAUUAGACAUUGAUACAUCGAACUAUUUUAUGCAAAAGAA
Molecule: long non-coding RNA, 1990 nt
Organism: Chiloscyllium plagiosum (whitespotted bambooshark)
Lineage: Eukaryota; Metazoa; Chordata; Chondrichthyes; Orectolobiformes; Hemiscylliidae
Source: RefSeq, a predicted model, not a curated record